UGGGGAAUUUUGGACAAUGGGGGCAACCCUGAUCCAGCCAUCCCGCGUGUGCGAUGAAGGCCUUCGGGUUGUAAAGCACUUUUGGCAGGGAAGAAACAGCCUGGGCUAAUAUCCCGGGCGACUGACGGUACCUGCAGAAUAAGCACCGGCUAACUACGUGCCAGCAGCCGCGGUAAUACGUAGGGUGCAAGCGUUAAUCGGAAUUACUGGGCGUAAAGCGUGCGCAGGCGGUUCGGAAAGAAAGGUGUGAAAUCCCAGGGCUUAACCUUGGAACUGCACUUUUAACUACCGGGCUAGAGUACGUCAGAGGGGGGUAGAAUUCCACGUGUAGCAGUGAAAUGCGUAGGGAUGUGGAGGAAUACCGAUGGCGAAGGCAGCCCCCUGGGAUGAUACUGACGCUCAUGCACGAAAGCGUGGGGAGCAAACA
This 427-nucleotide ribosomal RNA is filed under the name uncultured bacterium. Its description in RNAcentral is "bacterial SSU rRNA". It matches the Rfam family "Bacterial small subunit ribosomal RNA", at positions 355 to 774 of the family's 1533-position model. The record is from RNAcentral.